AGCGAACGCUGGCGGCAGGCCUAACACAUGCAAGUCGAACGAACCUUUCGGGGUUAGUGGCGGACGGGUGAGUAACACGUGGGAACGUGCCUUUAGGUUCGGAAUAACUCAGGGAAACUUGUGCUAAUACCGAAUGUGCCCUUCGGGGGAAAGAUUUAUCGCCUUUAGAGCGGCCCGCGUCUGAUUAGCUAGUUGGUUGAGGUAAUGGCUCACCAAGGCGACGAUCAGUAGCUGGUCUGAGAGGAUGAUCAGCCACAUUGGGACUGAGACACGGCCCAAACUCCUACGGGAGGCAGCAGUGGGGAAUCUUGCGCAAUGGGCGAAAGCCUGACGCAGCCAUGCCGCGGGAAUGAUGAAGGUCUUAGGAUUGUAAAAUUCUUUCACCGGGGACGAUAAUGACGGUACCCGGAGAAGAAGCCCCGGCUAACUUC
RNAcentral lists this ribosomal RNA (431 nucleotides) under uncultured bacterium. RNAcentral's name for it is "partial 16S ribosomal RNA". It matches the Rfam family "Bacterial small subunit ribosomal RNA", at positions 29 to 504 of the family's 1533-position model. The record is from RNAcentral.